Molecule: ribosomal RNA, 1335 nt
Filed under: uncultured organism
Description: bacterial SSU rRNA
Rfam family: Bacterial small subunit ribosomal RNA
Source: RNAcentral
UGGCUCAGAACGAACGCUGGCGGCGCGUUUUAGGCAUGCAAGUCGAACGGUAAGGCUCCCUUCGGGGAGUACACGAGUGGCAAACGGGUGAGUAACACNGUGGAUAAUCAACCCUAAAGUGGGGAAUAACGCUAAGAAAUUAGAGCUAAUACCGCAUAACAUUGCUCUCGCAUAUGUGUAAGCAAUUAAAGGCUUCGGUCGCUUUAGGACGAGUCCGCGGUCUAUUAGCUAGUUGGUGAGGUAAAGGCUCACCAAGGCGACGAUAGAUAGCCGGCCUGAGAGGGUGAUCGGCCACAUUGGGACUGCGACACGGCCCAGACUCCUACGGGAGGCAGCAGCUAAGAAUCUUAGGCAAUGGGCGAAAGCCUGACCUAGCGACGCCGCGUGGAUGAUGAAGGCCUUUUAGGUUGUAAAAUCUUUUUCUACAGGAAGAAUGUCUGUGUAAAAUCAGGCUGACGGUACUGUGGGAAUAAGCCCCGGCUAAUUACGUGCCAGCAGCCGCGGCAAUACGUAAGGGGCGAGCGUUGUUCGGAUUUAUUGGGCGUAAAGGGUGCGUAGGCGGAUUGGUAAGUUGGAUGUGCAAGCCCAGGGCUUAACUCUGGAACUGCGUCCAAAACUGCCAUUCUAGAGUGCAGGAGGGGAAAUCGGAAUUCCUGGUGUAGGAGUGAAAUCUUUAGAUAUCAGGAAGAACACCGGCGGUGAAGACGGAUUUCUAGCCUGCUACUGACGCUGAUGCACGAAAGCCAGGGGAGCAAACGGGAUUAGAUACCCCGGUAGUCCUGGCCGUAAACGUUGUAUACUAGGUGUAUGAGGCAUCGAUCCCUCAUGUGCCAAAGCUAACGCAUUAAGUAUACCGCCUGGAGAGUAUGCCCGCAAGGGUGAAAUUCAAAGGAAUUGACGGGGGCCCGCACAAGCGGUGGAGCAUGUGGUUUAAUUCGAUGAUACGCGAGGAACCUUACCAGGGUUUGACAUCUACCUGACCCCCCGAGAGAUCGGGGUUCUCUUCGGAGUUGGUAGGCAGGUGCUGCAUGGCUGUCGUCAGCUCGUGUCGUGAGAUGUUGGGUUAAGUCCCGCAACGAGCGCAACCCCUAUUCUCUGUUGCCAUCAGGUAAUGCUGGGAACUCAGAAAAAACUGCCGCCGAAAGGCGCACGGAAGGUGGGGAUGACGUCAAGUCCUCAUGGCCCUUAUGUCCUGGGCUACACACGUGCUACAAUGGAUGGUACAAACGGACGCCAAACCGCGAGUGGAGCCAAUCCCAAAAACCAUCCUCAGUUCGAAUUGAAGUCUGAAACCCGACUUCAUGAAGUUGGAAUCGCUAGUAAUCGUAUAUCAGA